UAGAAGGAGUCCUGGUCAGGAAGCGCUGCGAGCGUCUGCAGCAAGGCAGGAAACAGGACACUUAAAGGUUCAUCUGAGCGUGGAUCUCCAUGGUGUUGGACCAUGACUUGCAGCCUGAUUACAAAAAUGAAGACAUUUAUGGUUCUUUGAGUAUCCAAGCAACUUUUGACCAAGGAGAUGGCUUGAAUCAGCAGCGGCGCGUUGGACUCGGAGUACUCAACAAACACCAGCAGCAGCUUCAGAGCCGUUUUCACCACCAGAC
This is a long non-coding RNA of Melanotaenia boesemani (Boeseman's rainbowfish), 262 nucleotides long. RefSeq lists it as uncharacterized. The transcript has 3 exons. Lineage: Eukaryota; Metazoa; Chordata; Actinopteri; Atheriniformes; Melanotaeniidae. The record is from RefSeq and is a predicted model, not a curated record.